GACUGUUUGGACUAGUAAUAGAAAAUAAUGAGAAACUGCUCCUCUCUGAUCAUAAACUGACCUUCAGAAAAAAUAACACUAUACGCAACUCGAACCAAAUUGUUUUAUCUGACUCAUGCUGUGUGAAAUAAGAUAUCUGCAGAAGUCACUAUCAAAAUCAGAAAGGAUCCUGAACGGAAUGAACUUAUGGCUACCCGCUCUGGCUACACGGCAGUAGCCCCCCACAGAAUGUGGAUGCCUUGGGAACCCCAGGAUCUCUGCUGAGUGUGCCAAGGAAAGGGGCCUGCAGCUGGGAGCCAGGGAGCUCCCACAUAUAACCUUUGUGCUCUGCCAGCUGCUGGGCAGCCUGAAUCCAUGGAUGAUAAUGGAAAAGGAGAAAUCGUCAGUCUUCAGGCCUUUACUGCAGCAAACUUUGAAGGGAGCUUGAGACUUCUGAGAUCUAUACAUGCAAACCUCUCUAUGAAGCAGCCUCUUCAAAGAUCCAAGAGUCAUCCACAGCUCCAGUUCUCACCUGGUGUCAGGAAAAUCUCAUGUGAAAACUACCACAUACACUGACAGACUAAAAAAAAAUGGUUCCCUAUGAAACAUGAUUAGUGAAUUCUGAACAGCAGUGUUCCAUUUCCAACCUCCACAGCUGACAACAGCUGUAUAAUACACAAAUGAGUUCAGCAUCAAACCCAGAUACAUGAAGCAUAAUCAGUAAUUGAAACACUAGAAAGAGGAGGAUACUAAAACCUUCUGUGUCAAAGGUACCGCUCACUACUACCUAAUACGCUUUUGUGAUGGCUACAGUUAACUUAUAAAAAUAUACUGGGGGAUUCUGCUUUCACAUCUCCUUAAUGAAAACCUGGCAACGUGCUAAAAUAAGCAGGAAUAUGCUCUAGGUUUUUUUGUUUUUUUGUUUCUGUUACAAGAAUAGACCUAAAAUACUAAUGAGCUAGCAACAAAAUAUGUCUUUUACCAAUCUGCAAGAGAACAAAUAGUACUGUUCGCUUUAUGAAAUUCAUUAUCAGAUAACUCAGUCAUAACUUCUGUCAAGUGCAUGCUGUAAACUCCAGUGUUUGAACAUCAUAAAGUAGCUUCCUUAUUUGUUGGUAGUGCGCUUUUACUAGUUGUUUUUUGUUUUCAAGUUUUUAAUUAUUACUGGUUUUCUUUUCCUUAAACAUCACCAAAAACUUUCUUUGCUCAUUGCAAUAUUCUAAUCAUCAACAUCUACUGUAACUGUUCAGCUGCUGAGAUUUAUUCCAGUAAAAUAGAAUGUAAUAUCUGAUUUAUCUCUUCUAAUAAGUAAAUAAAUUUGCAUUAAGGGAAGCAAGACAUGAUUUAACUAUAUUAAUGGUGUAGUUACUAUAAAUCUACAAACCUAGAUCUUGUAUACCUUUGCAGUAGAUCUCAAAAUGUUUUACAAAAAGAGGAACACCAUUACCUCUAUUUUACAGGCUGCAAAACUUAGGCACAGGACGUGAAAACAAACUAUGAAGUCUGUGCCAUAAAGAACAGUACAAUUUCACCACAGUCUGUCCACUAAAGUUCUACGUUCUCAGUGCAUCAUAUGCACUCCAGAUUAGUCCAUGCUCUGUGUCACCUUUUGCCUUGUGUAAGAAUUCAAAGACAAUUAUAGUGACAGUGAAUAAAUGAUAGGUGGAAAAUUUUAAAAAUCCCAGUUGUUUUAAGGAAAUAUUUUUAGAACUAGAACUACCACCCAUCAACAUCAUAAAAAAAAAAAAAAAAUGAAGAAAAGUCAGUAUUAAUACAUGCACAAAGUAGUAAAGCCUAAACAGUUUUUCCGACCUUUAGACUAAGCAAAUCCCAGAAGAGAGUUAAUGACAAAGGAGAUAAAUUUUCACAUACAAAUACCAAAUAAUUCCUCCGAAACAAGCCAUCUGAGAUUAUUGAAACACAAAAAUUUCUUGCAAAAAACAGUUUUAUCUGAAUAAAAAUUCUUACAAAUAUAAAACAGGGGUACAGUAUAUAAAUUAAUAAGAAAUCUAGCUGACUUGUCAAUUUUAGCACGUCAGAACUCGGUGAAUUGCUACACUAACUAAAAAUAUAUUUUAUCCAUUAAUUUCAAUAACAAUGAAAAUGUGACCGCUAAAGCUGAGUAAAAAAUAGGGACAACCUCUGCACUGGGUUUCCAUGGCAAGAUUCUGGUAGCAGGGGUCUGCAAGGGUGGCUUCUGUGAGAAGACAUCAGAGGUUGCCCCCACAUCGGCCAGAAUCAGUUCCAGACAGAUAAAAAACAGAUCCACCCCUGACCAAAGUUAAGUCCAUCAGUGGCUCCAGUGCUACCUCUGUGAUAAUAUAAUUAAGAAAGGGUAAAAAAUUAUGUACAGCAGCUGUAAGAGAGAGGAGUGAGAAAAAUGUGAGAAACAGCCAUGCAGACACCAGCGUCAGUGAAGAAGGAGAGGGAGAAGGUGCUCCAGGCACUAGAGUAGAUCCCCCUGGAACCUGUGGUGAAGAUCAUGGUGAGGCAGGCUGUCUCCCUGCAGCCUGUGGAGGUCCACAGUG
Long non-coding RNA from Tyto alba (common barn owl), 2507 nucleotides. RefSeq lists it as uncharacterized. The record is from RefSeq and is a predicted model, not a curated record. The transcript is spliced from 3 exons. Lineage: Eukaryota; Metazoa; Chordata; Aves; Strigiformes; Tytonidae.